UGCUGUAUAAAAGGUGGCCUUCGGGCUGUCGUUUGGGGAUGAGUCUGCGUCCUAUUAGUUAGUUGGUGAGGUAAUGGCUCACCAAGGCGAUGAUAGGUAGGCGGCCUUAACGGGUGGUCGCCCACACUGGGAUUGAGAUACGGCCCAGACUCCUACGGGAGGCAGCAGUCGAGAAUAGUCUACAAUGGACGAAAGUCUGAUAGUGCGACGCCGCGUGAACGAAGACUCCCUAACAGGGUGUAAAGUUCUUUUAUAUGUGAGCAAUGGUUUGUAUAUUAAUAGUAUGCAGACAGAGAUAUUAGCAUAUGAAUAAGCAACGGCUAACUCCGUGCCAGCAGCCGCGGUAACACGGGGGUUGCAAGCGUUGUCCGGAAUUACUAGGCGUAAAGGGCAGGUAGGCGGAUCAGUAAGUUUGAUGUCAAAUCCAUCGGCUCACCCGAUGAUCGGCAUCAGAUACUGCUGAUCUGGAGUACGGUUGAGGAAGACAGAAUUCCUGGUGUAGCGGUGGAAUGCGCAGAGAUCAGGAGGAAUACCAAAUGCGAAGGCAGUCUUCUAGGCCGUUAUUGACGCUAAACUGCGAAGGUGUGGGGAUCAAACAGGAUUAGAUACCCUGGUAGUCCACGCAGUAAACGAUGAUUACUAGCUGUUUGCGAUAUACCGUAAGCGGCCGAGCGAAAGCAUUAAGUAAUCCACCCGGGGAGUACGUUCGCAAGAAUGAAACUCAAAGGAAUUGACGGGGGCCCGCACAAGCGGAGGAACAUGUGGUUUAAUUCGAUGAUACGCGAGGAACCUUACCCGGGCUUGAAAUGCAUCUGACCGAAGUGGAAACACUUUUUCUAGCAAUAGCAGAUGUGUAGGUGCUGCAUGGUUGUCGUCAGCUCGUGCCGUGAGGUGUCGGCUUAAGUGCCAUAACGAGCGCAACCCCCGCCGUUAGUUGCCAUCAGGUUAUGCUGGGAACUCUAGCGGGACUGCCACCGUAAGGUGUGAGGAAGGUGGGGAUGACGUCAAAUCAGCACGGCCCUUAUGUCCGGGGCGACACACGUGUUACAAUGGGCGGUACAGAGGGAAGCUACCCGGUGACGGGAUGCUAAUCUUUAAAACCGUUCUCAGUUCGGAUCGGAGUCUGUAACUCGACUCCGUGAAGCUGGAUUCGCUAGUAAUCGCGCAUCAGCCAUGGCGCGGUGAAUAAGUUCCCGGGCCUUGCACACACCGCCCGUCAAG
Molecule: ribosomal RNA, 1221 nt
Filed under: uncultured bacterium
Lineage: Bacteria
Description: bacterial SSU rRNA
Rfam family: Bacterial small subunit ribosomal RNA
Source: RNAcentral